Molecule: long non-coding RNA, 808 nt
Filed under: Ananas comosus (pineapple)
Lineage: Eukaryota; Viridiplantae; Streptophyta; Magnoliopsida; Poales; Bromeliaceae
Description: long non-coding RNA (ACOM_LNC040838)
Source: RNAcentral
UUUUAUCAUUUUCAUCCAUUCGAUUAUACUAUUCAACCAACCACCACUCAACCCUAGGGGGCUCACAUCAUCCUAGCCGUACAUUUUUUAAUCCAAGGGCAAAAAACUUAAAGUACCAAGUCAUUGGUGCUAUAUAUAUAUAUAUAAGGGGCAAUUGUUUAUAUAUCCUUGAAAAGUUCUCGAUUUUUUGAUUUACCCCAUUUUAGAAGGCUAAUGUUAAAAAUGCCCAUUUUACAUUCUAACCUAUUUCAAAUAUAUAUCUAGAGUUAAAAUCUGUUAAUAAACUCUGUUAUCGCUAUAAAAUUACUAUUUUGCCCUUUCAAAGUACCGACUUUUCUUAUUGGCCAUUAAGUUAGCGGUAUAAAAAGUAUCUUAUUUUUUGAUCUUUUCAAAUAUACCCUUCUGUCAACACCAACAUUUCUUAUUUGCCCUUAAGUUAAGGGCAAAAGUGACAUUUUAAUUUUUUUUUUACUGUGCUAGAUAUUUAACUCACGUUUAACCGAAAUUAACUUAACAGAUGGUAACUGUAAGAGUAUUUUGAAAUAACGGAGAAACAUAUGAGGAAUACAUUAGAAAAAAGUAAAAAUAAAUGAGAUAUUUUUAACGGAUGGUAACUGUAGGGAUAUUUUGAAAUAACGAAAGAACAUACGAGGAAUAUAUUAGAAAAAAAAUAUACAAUAAAUGAUAUUUUUUAAAGUUUUGGAGAGGUAUAUAGGCAAUUGGAGUACGGCUAGGAUGCUUAUGGAGACACGGAGGGAUCCGUGCUUCCACUUUAUUUUCGAUGUUCGGACUUUCGAAUCGAUGAUCG